GGGAAUCUUGCGCAAUGGGCGAAAGCCUGAUCCAGCCAUGCCGCGUGUGUGAAGAAGGCCUUCGGGUUGUAAAGCACUUUUGUUGGGGAAGAAAAGACACCGGUUAAUACCCGGGGUUUCUGACGGUACCCAAAGAAUAAGCACCGGCUAACUUCGUGCCAGCAGCCGCGGUAAUACGAAGGGUGCAAGCGUUACUCGGAAUUACUGGGCGUAAAGCGUGCGUAGGUGGUUCGUUAAGUCUGUCGUGAAAGCCCCGGGCUCAACCUGGGAAUGGCGAUGGAUACUGGCGGGCUAGAGUGCGGUAGAGGAGAGUGGAAUUCCCGGUGUAGCAGUGAAAUGCGUAGAGAUCGGGAGGAACAUCAGUUGCGAAGGCGGCUCUCUGGACCAGCACUGACACUGAGGCACGAAAGCGUGGGGAGCAAA
Molecule: ribosomal RNA, 423 nt
Filed under: uncultured bacterium
Lineage: Bacteria
Description: bacterial SSU rRNA
Rfam family: Bacterial small subunit ribosomal RNA
Source: RNAcentral